GUUACUACAUGGCGGCACACGGGGAGGUCACCUCUCAGGCGACAUGUGCUACUGCGGCUCUCAUUUUACGGCAAGCUGCAUACAGCCAUGCCUGUGAGAAGUAUUGUACUGCACGGUUUUGCUGCAAAUCGCAACAAAACGUAUAUAGAAUGCUGCCCACAGGUGCAAAUGUAUGAGGAAGCUGGGAAUAGCGCAUGACCUCGUCACAUGGCGGUUCACAGGUCCUGUACUUCACUGGAGCGGGGAGACCACGGCUGGGAGGAGAGAAACUGCACAAGUGAUGAGACACCAUGAUAAGACACAGCAACCUCCAGAAACAAGUCCUCAGUCUAUACAAACAGUUUUUACGAGCUGGAAAGGACAAACCUGGUUUCCUGCCUCAAAUCCAGCAUGAAUUUAGAAAAAAUGCCAAAAUCCCCAGGACGGACAUCAUGCACAUAGAGUAUCUCCUGCGCCUUGCCCGAAGGCAGCUGGACCAACUGAGGGAUGCAAGCACAAAACAGCUCGGAGUCUUCAUCAAAACCUCCAGGGAGGCAGAGAAUGGUCCCUCAGCAUCAUAAGUGGACUACUGCUGACAAACCCCCUAUAGCCUGUAAAUGUACGGUGGGUAUGAUAUAAUUUCUCGGAUGACAGAAGGAGUUGCAGUUGCAGCAGCCCAAGCACGGGUAACAACCUCUCUUCCUCUCCUGUUUAUUCUUCACCUUUAUAUCUGCACGUGUCAGGCUAUCACUCAGAUUCUUUGGUCUUUUAUAUGACAUAAGUGGAGGAGACUGAAACUCCUCUACCCCAGGAAAAGAUUGAAUCAAAAUAUGCCAGGUAGACUGGAAUAGCUUCUGCAUCGUGGAUGGACACAGCGGACUCUAGGACAGAAGAUGCAGCCUUUAUUUGAACUAAGACAUUUAAUUUCUUAUACCUGUAUAUGAUCCUGUUGUAUCUAAAUACAAAACUAUAUUUAUAGAGCUAAUUUAUAUUUCACUUCAAUUAUAUUCUGGCUGUAAUGUCAAGUGAGAAAGCACAGGGUCUGUCAAGAGUAAAAAUUCUGCUUUUUGUUUUUUAAGAAGUAAUCUUUACAAUCCCUUGAAGUAUAUUGUGUAAGAUAAUGUGGAAUACAGUUGUAAAUCAGUAUUGUGACUAUUUUUAACA
Bufo bufo (common toad) is the source of this 1143-nucleotide RNA transcript. It is a transcript of the gene named succinate dehydrogenase complex assembly factor 1, with no coding region annotated. NCBI's taxonomy places the organism in Eukaryota, Metazoa, Chordata, Amphibia, Anura, Bufonidae. The transcript has 3 exons. The record is from RefSeq and is a predicted model, not a curated record.